Molecule: long non-coding RNA, 3006 nt
Filed under: Triticum aestivum (bread wheat)
Lineage: Eukaryota; Viridiplantae; Streptophyta; Magnoliopsida; Poales; Poaceae
Description: long non-coding RNA (TAES_LNC008880)
Source: RNAcentral
CCAGGGGCCUCGAGGGCUCGAAUACAAGUGCUCGAUCAUAGACGAGUCAGCGGAAGCAACAAUAUCUGAGUACAGACAUAAGUUAAACAAGUUUGCCUUAAGAAGGCUAGAACAAAAGUAGCAACGAUCGAAGAGGCAAGGCCUCCUGCCUGGGACAUCCUAACUACUCCUCGAAGCCGAACUCCAUGUAGAAUCAUCCUCGGGAUCUCUAGCUCCUGGACUCCAGCAUCUGGUUGCGACAACCAAGUAUAGAAAUGGGAAAAGAGGGAGAAAAGCAACCGUGAGUACUCAUCCAAAGUACUCGCAAGCAAGGAGCUACACACUACGUAUGCAUGGGUAUAUGUGUAAAGGGCCAUAUCGGUGGACUAAACUGCAGAAUGCCAGAAUAAGAGGGGGAUAGCUAAUCCUGUCGAAGACUAUGCUUCUAGCCACCUCCAUCUUGCAGCAUGUAGAAGAGAGUAGAUUGAAGUCCUCCAAGUAGCAUCGUAUAGCAUAAUCCUACCCGGCGAUCCCCUCCUCAUCGCCCUGUUAGAGAGCGAUCACCGGGUUGUAUCUGGCACUUGGAAGGGUGUGUUUUAUUAAGUAUCCAGUUCUAGUUGUUAUAAGGUCAAGGUACAACUCCGGGUCGUCCUUUUACCGAGGGACACGACUAUUCGAAUAGAUAAACUUCCCUGCAGGGGUGCACCACAUAACCCAACACGCUCGAUCCCAUUUGGCCGGACACACUUUUCUGGGUCAUGCCCGGCCUCGGAAGAUCAACACGUCGCAGCCCCACCUAGGCACAAUAGAGAGGUCAGCACGCCGGUGUAAAUCCUAUGGCGCAGGGGUCUGGGCCCAUCGCCCAUUGCACACCUGCACGUUGCGAACGCGGCCGAAAGCAGACCUAGCCUAGUAGGCGUUCCAGUCCAAUCUGGCGCGCGCCACUCAGUCGCUGACGUCACGAAGGCUUCGGCUGAUACCACGACGUCGAGUGCCCAUAACUGUUCCCGCGUAGUUGGUUAGUGUGUAUAGACCAAAUGGCCAGACUCAGAUCAAAUACCAAGAUCUCGUUAAGCAUGUUAAGUAUCCGCGAACGCUGACCAGGGCCAGGCCCACCUCUCUGCUAGGUGGUCUCAACCUGCCCUGUCGCUCUGCCACAAAGUAACAGUCGAGGGCCGUCAAGAACCCAGGCCCACCUCUACCGGGAUGGAGCCACCUGUCCUUUCAGCCCCCUCAUCAGAAUCACUUGCGGGUACUAAACGAGCCGACCCGACUUUAGUCACCACAUGUGUCAUGUAUAUAAAGUAUAUAGUAUAUAACCGUGAUCACCUCCCGAAGUGAUCACGGCCCAGUAGUAUAGCAUGGCAGACAGACAAGAGUGUAGGGCCACUAAUGGAACACUAGCAUCCUAUACUAAGCAGUAGGAUAGCAGGUAAGGGUAACAACUGUAGCAACAAUGACAGGCUAUGCAACAGAAUAGGAUUGACCGAAAUCAGUAACAUGCUACACUACUCUAAUGCAAGCAGUAUAGAGAAGAAUAGGCGAUAUCUGGUGAUCAAGGGGGGGCUUGCCUGGUUGCUCUGGCAAGGAGGGAUCGUCAACACCGUAGUCGAACUGGGGGUCGCCGGCAGUCUCUGGGUCUACCGGAAAGAAGUAACUGAGGGGAAACACAAUAAAUAAUAGAGCAAUCAAAGCCUCACAAAGCGUAACAUGGCAAUACGCAGUCUAGAGGUGACCUAACGCUGUAAUAGGUGAUACUGGUGAAGUGUGGAAAACAUCCGGGAAAGAAUCCCCGGUGUUUCGCGUUUUCGGACAAAUGAAUCAGAGAGGAAAGUUGCGUGUUUGCUAUGCUAGGGAUGUGUGGCGAACAAACGGGCUGUGUAUUCGGAUUCGUCUCGUCGUUCUGAGCAACUUUCAUAUAGAAAACAUUUUCAUCUGAGCUACGGUUUAUUUUAUAUUAAUUUUCCAAAGUUUUUAAAUGAUUUUCUAAUUUUCUGGAAUUGUUUUAAAUUCGAAUAUUAAAUUCUAAAGUGCAGUCAACCCAGCCAACCUAGUCAACUUUUGACUAGUCAAUAGGACAAUGUGGCCCACAUGUCAUUGUCACAUAAAUUAACUAGUGUCUAGAUUAAAAUGAGACCACGUGCCAUUGCUUUAUAUUAAACUAAACUAGCACUAGGGUUAGUUCUAAACUAAUCCUAUUCUAACUAAACCCCACACACACACUUACGCACACACACCUAGCGCACAUCAACCACGGCCAUGGCCUUGACCAUGGCCAGCCGCAAGAACAUGCUGCAGCAGGCAACGGCACUACGCAGCGGCACUACGGGAGCAGCAAUACGCAGCGGCGGCCACAAAGGGCAGCAGCAAGCAACACGGAGCAGUAUAGAGCAGCAGCAGUAAGUAGCAGUGGGCAGCGGGCAGAGCAACGCAGCAGAGUAUCAGCAGCAGGUAGCCAGCGGCAGUAGAUCAUCAGCAGCGGCACGUACGCGGGAGGGAGGCGCCAAUAGGGCGGCCAGGAGCAGCCGCGGUGGCGCGGGCGACGACGGGCGCGUCGGGGCGCGGCCACGAGCGGGCGCGCACGCACGGGGGCGUAGCCGGGUGAGGGUCGUUUCGGUCAGGGCGCAGGCACGGAGCUAGCUUCGGCCAUGGCGGGCGGCGGCUACGGCAACAAGCGGGAGACAUGCUAGGGGAUACAGAGGAGAGGGGAAAGAGGUCAUAGAGGACCGGGAGCUCACAGUGAAGCUCGAGGCGGGCUCGUGAAGGCCGGAGAGGCUCGGGUGGAGCGGAUCGACGAGGGGCAGUGGCGAUAUCCGACGAAGGGGAUCGAUGCGGACGGCGUCACCGGUGCACCUCGGCCUUGAUCCAGUGGCGCAGGAGACAAGACGAGGAUGACGGAGCUCCUGGACAUGCUCCCACGGGUUGGCGACGACGGUGGCCGUGGUAACGACGGUGAGGCAGCGGUGACCGCGAGUUGUUUGAGCUCAAAUUCAAGCGGAAGAGGAGGGGGACGACGGGGGAUCCAGG